AUUGAACGCUGGCGGCAUGCCUUACACAUGCAAGUCGAACGGCAGCACGGGAGCAAUCCUGGUGGCGAGUGGCGAACGGGUGAGUAAUAUAUCGGAACGUGCCCAGUCGUGGGGAUAACGUAGCGAAAGCUACGCUAAUACCGCAUACGAUCUAUGGAUGAAAGCGGGGGAUCGCAAGACCUCGCGCGAUUGGAGCGGCCGAUAUCAGAUUAGGUAGUUGGUGAGGUAAAGGCUCACCAAGCCGACGAUCUGUAGCUGGUCUGAGAGGACGACCAGCCACACUGGGACUGAGACACGGCCCAGACUCCUACGGGAGGCAGCAGUGGGGGAAUUUUUGGACAAUGGGCGCAAGCCUGAUCCAGCAAUGCCGCGUGCAGGAUGAAGGCCUUCGG
Molecule: ribosomal RNA, 392 nt
Filed under: uncultured bacterium
Lineage: Bacteria
Description: bacterial SSU rRNA
Rfam family: Bacterial small subunit ribosomal RNA
Source: RNAcentral